This 492-nucleotide ribosomal RNA is filed under the name uncultured bacterium. RNAcentral describes it as "partial 16S ribosomal RNA". It matches the Rfam family "Bacterial small subunit ribosomal RNA", at positions 29 to 507 of the family's 1533-position model. The record is from RNAcentral.
AGUGAACGCUGGCGGUAGGCCUAACACAUGCAAGUCGAACGGCAGCACAGUAAGAGCUUGCUCUUACGGGUGGCGAGUGGCGGACGGGUGAGGAAUACAUCGGACUCUACUUUUUCGUGGGGGAUAACGUAGGGACACUUACGCUAAUACCUCAUACGACCUACGGGUGAAAUCAGGGGCUCUUCGCGCCUUUCGCGAUUUCAUUAGCCGAUGUCGGAUUAGCUAGUUGGCGGGGUAAAGGCCCACCAAGGCGACGAUCCGUAGCUGGUCUGAGAGGAUGAUCAGCCACACUGGAACUGAGACACGGUCCAGACUCCUACGGGAGGCAGCAGUGGGGAAUAUUGGACAAUGGGCGCAAGCCUGAUCCAGCCAUACCGCGUGGGUGAAGAAGGCCUUCGGGUUGUAAAGCCCUUUUGUUGGGAAAGAAAAGCAGCAGGUUAAUACCCCGCUGUUCUGACGGUACCCAAAGAAUAAGCACCGGCUAACUUCGUG